This 500-nucleotide ribosomal RNA is filed under the name uncultured bacterium. RNAcentral's name for it is "partial 16S ribosomal RNA". It matches the Rfam family "Bacterial small subunit ribosomal RNA", at positions 30 to 523 of the family's 1533-position model. The record is from RNAcentral.
AUUGAACGCUGGCGGCAGGCCUAACACAUGCAAGUCGAGCGGAUGACAGGAGCUUGCUCCUUGAUUCAGCGGCGGACGGGUGAGUAAUGCCUAGGAAUCUGCCUGGUAGUGGGGGACAACGUUUCGAAAGGAACGCUAAUACCGCAUACGUCCUACGGGAGAAAGCAGGGGACCUUCGGGCCUUGCGCUGUCAGAUGAGCCUAGGUCGGAUUAGCUAGUUGGUGGGGUAAUGGCUCACCAAGGCGACGAUCCGUAACUGGUCUGAGAGGAUGAUCAGUCACACUGGAACUGAGACACGGUCCAGACUCCUACGGGAGGCAGCAGUGGGGAAUAUUGGACAAUGGGCGAAAGCCUGAUCCAGCCAUGCCGCGUGUGUGAAGAAGGUCUUCGGAUUGUAAAGCACUUUAAGUUGGGAGGAAGGGCAGUAAGCUAAUACCUUGCUGUUUUGACGUUACCGACAGAAUAAGCACCGGCUAACUCUGUGCCAGCCGCCGCAGUAA